CUAAGCAUGAAGCCCCCCUCAAGAUGAGAUUUCCCAACUUCGGUUAUAAGAUCCCUCAAAGAUGAUGAGGUUAAUAGGUUCGAGGUGGAAGCAUGGUGACAUGUGGAGCUGACGAAUACUAAUCGAUCGAAGACUUAAUCAAAA
RNAcentral lists this ribosomal RNA (144 nucleotides) under Staphylococcus aureus. Its description in RNAcentral is "partial 23S ribosomal RNA". It matches the Rfam family "Bacterial large subunit ribosomal RNA", at positions 2781 to 2925 of the family's 2925-position model. The record is from RNAcentral. RNAcentral also lists the same sequence under 1 other name. Lineage: Bacteria; Bacillati; Bacillota; Bacilli; Caryophanales; Staphylococcaceae.